RNAcentral lists this unclassified non-coding RNA (274 nucleotides) under Hevea brasiliensis (rubber tree). The record is from RNAcentral. Lineage: Eukaryota; Viridiplantae; Streptophyta; Magnoliopsida; Malpighiales; Euphorbiaceae.
UAUUACCACAUGUAACUGCAAGAGGGAACAUCCAUAAAGGAAUCAUUGCAGGAAAAUUGAAAGGGCAAAUCCCAGCACACACACCAAGUGGCUCUCUAAUGCUAUAGGUAUCAAUUCCAUUUGACACAUUAGGGACAUACUCGCCCAUUUGCAGAGUUGCCAUUCCACAAGCAUGUUCUACAACCUCAAGCCCACGGAACACAUCACCAUGUGCAUCCUUCAAAGUCUUCCCCUGUUCAGUAGUAAUAUUCAUCGCAAGCUUAUCAAUGUCUCU